UACGUAGGGUGCAAGCGUUGUCCGGAAUUAUUGGGCGUAAAGAGCUCGUAGGCGGUUCGUCGCGUCGGCUGUGAAAACCCGAGGCUCAACCUCGGGCCUGCAGUCGAUACGGGCGGACUGGAGUUCGGCAGGGGAGACUGGAAUUCCUGGUGUAGCGGUGAAAUGCGUAGAUAUCUGGAGGAAUACCGGUGGCGAAGGCGGCAUCCUGGACCAACACUGACGCUGAGGCGCGAAAGCUAGGGGAGCAAACGGG
RNAcentral lists this ribosomal RNA (253 nucleotides) under uncultured bacterium. Its description in RNAcentral is "partial 16S ribosomal RNA". It matches the Rfam family "Bacterial small subunit ribosomal RNA", at positions 524 to 776 of the family's 1533-position model. The record is from RNAcentral.